This 253-nucleotide ribosomal RNA is filed under the name uncultured bacterium. RNAcentral's name for it is "partial 16S ribosomal RNA". It matches the Rfam family "Bacterial small subunit ribosomal RNA", at positions 524 to 776 of the family's 1533-position model. The record is from RNAcentral.
UACGAAGGGUGCAAGCGUUAAUCGGAAUUACUGGGCGUAAAGCGUGCGUAGGCGGUUUCUUAAGUCUGCUGUGAAAGCCCCGGGCUCAACCUGGGAAUGGCAUUUGGGACUGCAAGGCUGGAGUGCGGCAGAGGAGACUGGAAUUCCUGGUGUAGCAGUGAAAUGCGUAGAUAUCAGGAGGAAUACCGAUGGCGAAGGCAGGUCUCUGGGCUGACACUGACGCUCAUGCACGAAAGCGUGGGGAGCAAACAGG